RNAcentral lists this long non-coding RNA (424 nucleotides) under Fukomys damarensis (Damara mole-rat). Its description in RNAcentral is "lncRNA (ENSFDAG00000024105.1)". Lineage: Eukaryota; Metazoa; Chordata; Mammalia; Rodentia; Bathyergidae. The record is from RNAcentral.
UGGAGAGCAGGAGUUCCUGGCUUGACCAUAGUUCAUACAGAUUCUGCUGAUGGAGCCUAGGCUGAAAGUGACCUCACAUCAUGCGAGCCAGCAGCUCAACUUGGCUCUGCGAGGAGAAUGAUGCCAGGUGGUUCUCACAAUGUGUCCAAGAGGACCUGAAUGUUACACUGGAUGCCAGCCAUAGAGCUGUAUGCAGUCUGUGGAGAGCAGUAGUGCCCGGCCUGACCAUUGUUUGUACAGAUUUUUCCUGAUUUAGUCUAGCCUGACAGUGACCUCACAUUAUGCUAGCCGACAGCUCAAGGUCACUCUGCAAGGAGAACGAUGCCAAGUGGUUCGCACAAUGUGUCCAAGAGGAACUGAAUGUUGCACUGGAUGCCAGCCGUGUGAGUGCAGAUUACGUAGUGGCAAAAUGUACCUCAACAGU